RNAcentral lists this ribosomal RNA (471 nucleotides) under uncultured bacterium. RNAcentral's name for it is "bacterial SSU rRNA". It matches the Rfam family "Bacterial small subunit ribosomal RNA", at positions 30 to 479 of the family's 1533-position model. The record is from RNAcentral.
AUUGAACGCUGGCGGCAUGCUUUACACAUGCAAGUCGAACGGCAGCGCGGGCUUCGGCCUGGCGGCGAGCGGCGAACGGGUGAGUAAUAUAUCGGAACGUACCCAAGAGUGGGGGAUAACGUAGCGAAAGUUACGCUAAUACCGCAUACGAUCUAAGGAUGAAAGCAGGGGAUCGCAAGACCUUGUGCUCCUGGAGCGGCCGAUAUCUGAUUAGCUAGUUGGUGAGGUAAAGGCUCACCAAGGCAACGAUCAGUAGCUGGUCUGAGAGGACGACCAGCCACACUGGAACUGAGACACGGUCCAGACUCCUACGGGAGGCAGCAGUGGGGAAUUUUGGACAAUGGGGGCAACCCUGAUCCAGCAAUGCCGCGUGAGUGAAGAAGGCCUUCGGGUUGGUAAAGGUACGUCUUUUGUUCUAGGGAAGAAACGGGUAGGAGUUCGUAAUAAAGUACUUGUCUAAUAGACGGUACC